Parasteatoda tepidariorum (common house spider) is the source of this 278-nucleotide non-coding RNA. The record is from RefSeq and is a predicted model, not a curated record. NCBI's taxonomy places the organism in Eukaryota, Metazoa, Arthropoda, Arachnida, Araneae, Theridiidae.
UUCUUUUUAGAGUUUUGACUAGUUUUUGCUCAAAAAGCUGAAAUUUUAUUUUUCAGCUUUUGUACAGUCUUAGAAUACUGCGAUGGUCAUGAUUUAGAUUUCUACCUCAAACAACAUAAAAAUAUUCCUGAAAGAGAAGCCAGGUGUAUUAUUAUGCAAGUCGUUCAUGCCUUAAAGUACCUGAAUGAAAUCAAACCACCUAUUAUACAUUAUGAUCUCAAACCUGGAAACAUUUUACUAGGCAGUGGGGAAAUUAAAAUAACAGAUUUCGGAUUGAG